This 303-nucleotide long non-coding RNA is filed under the name Hordeum vulgare. Its description in RNAcentral is "long non-coding RNA (HVUL_LNC020173)". The record is from RNAcentral. Lineage: Eukaryota; Viridiplantae; Streptophyta; Magnoliopsida; Poales; Poaceae.
UUUCACUUCAAUCUCACUCUUUUCUCUUCAAGUUUGGUCAACUCCUGACAGACGGUGGCGUGAUAGCAGAUCCCUUUGGGUCACACGGUGCGGCGGGAGCGCUUAUGUCUAGGCUGGCACCCUGCGUUCCCCCUCUUGGAGUUGGAUGCUUGGCCGCUUGCGCCUGGUCUGGAUCCCGAGCCGGCGACACGCUGGCCGCACGCCACCUCCUCGUCCGAUCCGUUGUCUCGCAGCCACCGACGGAGGGAUUCAAAAAACCGCGCGACACGGCCCUGACAUAACCCAACGUCUCCUUCUGCGCCC